GACAGGAUUGAUGUGAGAUCUUACAAGCUUUCAUUAUCAUCCAGUGCUUGUGUCACAUAGCUGCCCUUCCCUACUUCUCAGCCCUCCAAAAGGCACAAUGUCUUCCAUCAGGCAAAAGUGACACCACAACAUUCAUUAUAGGAAGUAAGAGACAUUCAUCACUGGAAUAUUUUAGCAAAUGAAUCACAACAGACUGAUAGCAUAACUCAUGUUCUAAGGCCAAGAACAAGAAUUGCAUAGUUUAUUUUAAGACAGCAGAAGAGUAAAAAACAGAUUGAAAAACAUAUGAUACCCUCUCCAGCUCAGAGCUCUACAAACAGCAGUGGCGUUUGCAAAGUUCUAUGUAUCUUCUCAAAUGUGGUUUCAGUUUUAAUGUGUGUUGACAUCUUUGUGUGCAGAACUAACUGGAGGAACAACAGUUUGUGCUUUUUUUCCCUUCUUGCUACAAGGGUGAGAACAGGGAAAGAACCAAACGAUCUGUGUUUACUUUGAGCAGCCAUACACCAUGCAUGGACACUAAGCUUCUUACUGCUUCUGAUUAGUGACCUCAAUUGAGACUCAUUGCUCAUUGCAAAGACUGCUAAUGGAUUGUUUGAGCCUGAAUGUGUUAGGAUGGAAUAUUUCUUCUUCUCAGAUUCAAGAGCCCUGAAAACCCUGUUCAUUGUUGCUAGGAGAUGGGUGGCUAUGGCAACAGUGUGGGUCAGAGCCAGAUGGAAUGCCUAAAGCAUAAUCAGGUUUAGGCUUUUUUUUGAUCUCCAAAUGACUCCAUGGCAGUCCUGAGCACGGAAGCCCCAAAUCACUGCCUCUUCAGCUUGUUUCAAAAGACUGAGUCUCACACUGUCACCCGGGCUGGAGUGCAGUAGUGUGAUCUUGGUUCACUGCAACCACCGCCUCCCAGGUUCAAGCAAUUCUUCUGCCUCAGCUUCCUGAGUAGCUGGGAUUACAGGAGCCAGCCACCACACCCAGACAUAUUCCUUGAAGGUAGAAUCACUGUCAGCAGAGUCCUUGCCAGGAACGACUUUCCAGUGAAGGAGACAAUGGAAAUUUGGACAACAUUUUGAAAACCACUAACAGUAACAACGUGUUAAUAAUAAUUAAAACAUUAAGAUGAAGAAGACAAAGAAGGAGAAAUAUGAAGGGAUUGCUAAUUGCUGGUGUUCUGCAUUUGUUUUCUUAUUUAAUCCUCAUCAUAACCUUAUGAGGUGUUUCUCUCGGGAAAAGAGAGAAAUUGUUGGCAGAAAAUAAUGAAAACACAAGGACUUGUGCUAUGUGCUGAAAGAAUUGCUCCUGAAACGAUAAAGGUGAAAUGCAGAUAAAGACAAUCAAGAUACAGCCUUUUUUAAAAAAUUAUUUCCAUUCCAGUCCUAUCCAUCCUGGCUAUAAAGUGACUCUCAACCCAAAGAUCUGGAAACUCCAGUUAAAUAAUGCACAUUUAAUUAUUUUGGUGCCCUUUUGGUAUCUAAUGCAUGCUAUAGAUGAUUGCACUGUCAUUUUAACACUGAGAGGUACAAAAUAAUAGGUCCAUUUUCAAAAGACGUGGCCUUAACAGAACUAGUAUUUUUACUUUUAGUAUCCAAAGUACUAGAAUAAAGGAAACUGCUAAAUGUAACGUAAAGUGGAAAUGCAC
This 1627-nucleotide long non-coding RNA is filed under the name Homo sapiens (human). Its description in RNAcentral is "HSALNT0328612". The record is from RNAcentral. Lineage: Eukaryota; Metazoa; Chordata; Mammalia; Primates; Hominidae.